This is a long non-coding RNA of Papaver somniferum (opium poppy), 671 nucleotides long. RefSeq lists it as uncharacterized. The transcript has 3 exons. The record is from RefSeq and is a predicted model, not a curated record. Lineage: Eukaryota; Viridiplantae; Streptophyta; Magnoliopsida; Ranunculales; Papaveraceae.
UCUUCUCUCUUUUUCUUCUUUCCUCUCGUUUUUCCUGUUCUUCGGCUGUGAUUGUUUUGAGAAUCAAAAACUAAAGAUUUUGAGUUUGAAUUAAGAGAAGUAAGAUCGAUAGAGGAAAUCUGCUGGUGGUGGUGUUAAUUCGAGUUAAGAAUUCAAACUCCAUUGGAAAAGUUAGUCUUUAUUAACAACGGUCGAUUCAAAGGAUGAACCAGUGGAUUGAGAAUCUUGAGGUAGGCGAGGUUUGUCUUCAAAACAGUUUUUCAGUUACCAGAAGUUAUGGUGUACGCGAAGAUAUUCGUUUCCGUCUCUUAAAUAUUUUAGAGUUGUUGCGAAUUAUUUUAGGUUUGUACAUUAUUUUUGUAAUCACAAACACACUAUUAAUUUAUAUAACUUGAGAGAUUUUUCAUUUAUAAUUGUUCGAGUGGUGGGUUUAGCUUUGGGUUAAGUUUUGUAUAAGAUUUUCUAUUUGGAAGUUAAGAUAUAUGGUUGAGAUCUUUAAUGCCUCAUUAGGUAGUUAAUCACUUGGGUUAAUAAGUAGCUUAAUUUUUUGGGCGCUACAAAGUCGUUCCUGAUCUUCAUGUGUGAUGAAAUUGGAUUGUUGAUUCCCUUCUACUGGGCGUUCAAGAGCAACGCGAACUUCUUCAUCUAUAAACGUGCAUCCUGCUGAAGUG